This 493-nucleotide ribosomal RNA is filed under the name uncultured bacterium. RNAcentral describes it as "partial 16S ribosomal RNA". It matches the Rfam family "Bacterial small subunit ribosomal RNA", at positions 30 to 506 of the family's 1533-position model. The record is from RNAcentral.
UGAACGCUGGCGGCGUGCCUAAUACAUGCAAGUCGCGCGAACAGACGAGGAGCUUGCUCCUCUGACGUUAGCGGCGGACGGGUGAGUAACACGUGGAUAACCUACCUAUAAGACUGGGAUAACUUCGGGAAACCGGAGCUAAUACCGGAUAAUAUAUUGAACCGCAUGGUUCAAUAGUGAAAGACGGUUUUGCUGUCACUUAUAGAUGGAUCCGCGCCGCAUUAGCUAGUUGGUAAGGUAACGGCUUACCAAGGCAACGAUGCGUAGCCGACCUGAGAGGGGCAUCGGCCACACGGACACUGAGACACGGCCCAGACCCCUCGGGGGCGCAGCAGUGGGAUAUUCUCCGAAAUGGGGAAACGCCGGACGGGGCAACCCCGCGUGAGUGAGGAAGGUUUUGGGAUGUAAAAACUUUUUUUUAGGAAAAAAAAAAUGUGUAAGUAACUAUGCACGUCUUGACGGGACCAAAACAGAAAGCCCCGGCAAACUACGG